Molecule: ribosomal RNA, 305 nt
Filed under: uncultured bacterium
Lineage: Bacteria
Description: bacterial SSU rRNA
Rfam family: Bacterial small subunit ribosomal RNA
Source: RNAcentral
GCCUACGGGGGGCAGCAGUGGGGAAUAUUGGACAAUGGGGGGAACCCUGAUCCAGCGACGCCGCGUGAGUGAAGAAGUAUUUCGGUAUGUAAAGCUCUAUCAGCAGGGAAGAAAGAAAUGACGGUACCUGACUAAGAAGCCCCGGCUGACUACGUGCCAGCAGCCGCGGUAAUACGUAGGUGGCAAGCGUUGUCCGGAUUUACUGGGUGUAAAGGGCGUGUAGCCGGGCCGGCAAGUCAGGUGUGAAAUCCCAAGGCUCAACCUUGGUACUGCAUUUGAAACUGUUGGUCUUGAGUAUCGGAGAG